Molecule: long non-coding RNA, 2523 nt
Organism: Catharus ustulatus (Swainson's thrush)
Lineage: Eukaryota; Metazoa; Chordata; Aves; Passeriformes; Turdidae
Exons: 3
Source: RefSeq, a predicted model, not a curated record
CUGGCGGCUCAAGCAGCGCAGCCUCCUCGGGACAGCUUAGCCCUAAGCGGGGAACCAGGAGGUGAAGAGGGAGCCGGGAUGGUGGUGGGAGAAGUGAGGGUGAGCUGUGACAGCAAACAGGACGUGAGGAUUUGGGGUCUGCAACUGGCUGAGGAAGGGAAAGAGUGGGGAUGAGAUAUUCUUGAAGUUCUUCUACUGGUGAAGACCCUGGGACCAGAGGCUGAGAACUAAGAGCAAGAGCAAAGGCAAAGUGCACUUUGAUGUUAUUGCCAGUAAAGACAAAUUGGGAGCAUCCCAAAUGGUCACAAUAAAAAAAAAAAAAAAAUCUAAAAGUGCUCAACUCUUCUUUAUCCUUGUUUAGAAACUUUCUUCAGGAGGGAAGGUGCUGAACACCUUCUAAAAAUAGCCAUGCUAAUAAUAAUUACUGCAUGUUUCCAGAGUCACAGGAUGGUUUGUGAUGGAAGGGACCUUGAAGAUGAUCCAGUUCCAUCCCCUGCCAUGGGCAGGGACACUUUCCCCUAGGCCAGGGUGCUCCAAGCCCCCCUGUGCUCCUGGCUGGGCAGCUGCAGCAGAUCCCACUUUAAUGUCACCUGUAUCUGCCAUCCCUUAGUCCUGACCCAUAAAUUCUCCCUUAGCUCCUCUUCCAUCCUCAGGUAAAGCUCCUUGUAUUCCAUCUGCUCCUCAGCAAAGCAGACAGCCCCUCUUCAUCUCCUGUGCUCUUCCUAAAGAGAAUUCCUAUUCCUGUUCUUCCUGCAUCCUUCCAUUCCAUCCCAAUCCAAAGGAGCCAUCCCACCACAUCUCCACGAUGCCAACAACAAGAUCACAGCCCUACAGAACACAUCCCUGAUCCUCUGGUUCAUUCCACAUGCUCAGAACAGAGGAAUUUGAGCUGGAUCAGUGAUGGAGCCAUUUUCCUGUGUGGAGUGCCUGGAAUUCCUUUGUGCUGCUCUCCAGGUGCAUUCCUGCUGACCUGCAGUCCCUCUCCAAGCUCAAGGCAUUUUUUACCGACCCUGGCACCAAACUGGCAGGAGAGGGAUGGGUUGAGAUUCCCCUUCCCCUGGGAACUCUCUUUUCCCACACCAGCUGCUGGGAGCUGCGAGCCACUCGUUUAAAACCCCGGUUAGCACAAAAGGUUUCUUUGAUGGUGGGAAAAGCAGUUUCCUUUGCAGGGCUCUCAAUGUGCUUCCCAAGCAGAGCCAUAGAUGGCAGUACGUGGUAUUUACAGAGUUAUUUCCACAAGUAAAUCUUCUUAUUUUAGCAGAAAGCGACAGAAUUUCAUUUUCUUGUAGUUACAACGCGCUCAGAAUGAGAACUCCUAAAUCAAUGGAGAAAGCAAGAAAAGCCUCCUUGCCUGAGCACUGGCAGACAGAGCUUGAAAUGCAAAAUCCCUCUGUGCUCCACAGGAUUCUCUAUCCCCUUUCACAGGGAUGAUACCUGAGGAGUUGAACAAGAAAACAAUUUUCCAUACUGGAGAAAAGUUGAAGUUCUCUCAAGUGACUGUCACAAAAGCCUGAAACGAGCUCAAAAUUCUGGGUUCACUUUCAAAAACCAGCAGUUGGGGGUGUGGAUGUGAAUUUAAUUCAGGCCAGACAAAAGAGGUUACUUUGAUUUCAACUUAUAGUUCCACUUUGUUUUUGCUUUACUAUCACUAGCUUAGCUUCAAAAAAUAAAAUAAAAAAAGUUAAAGUAACAAUGUUUGGGAUUUCUUUCCCUCCUUUUCUCCUUGUUAUAGAAAAACACACUGAAGUCUGAUUUCAAUGAACUGACACUUCUAGCCCAAAGUAUCACAUUAAAGGAAUAUGCAACUUGCUGAUUUAAUUUCCAUUAAAAUAAAUUAAUUUCCCCAAGUUCAGCCUGUUUGGCCCUUGAGGGUAACUGGUGACUGAUCUGUCCCUGUCCUUUUCUCAACCUAGGAGCCUUUCAUUAUUUUUUCUUUCUCCUGUCCAGUCGAGGGGCCUGACAGAGCAGCUUAGGAGGGCACCUGACAUCCAACCAGGGUCAACCCACCACAGUCACCUUCUUGUCCCUAUGUUCCCAACAUCCAGGAGCUUAAUCUCUGUUGGUUUCUUCACAUCCAAGUAUCCAAGUCAGCUUUUCACAGAUGUCAGAAGAAAUAGGCACAAAAAAAUAAAAAAAGAAUUUCCAAAAGUUCACACAUUGGUGGUUUCCAACCUCGUUUUUCAUAUUUAGACAUUUCAAAUCACCCCCUAGAUGUAAUUCUUGAGGCCAGGUGCUUCCAGGCUCCCCCAGAAACCAGUGGAGCUGGAGAGUGCUCAGCAUCUUUACGGGUCUGUUCCUUAGAUGUUCUCAUGAAUGGAAAUCUGUGGUUUUCCAGUGUCUGUAUUUCACCUGAGCAUCCUGAAAUUAAAGGCUGAUCCUGCAGUUGUGUAAAUGAUUUGACAUAAGCAUAUGUAAAACAAGUUUGAUCCCAUAAUUUAUAGUCUAUUGAAAUUGGAAGUCCCUCAGAGGAAGGUGGGAUUAAUACCAAAUCAGGGAAGAAAAAACCCAUUAAGAUUAAAUAAA